AGGGUUUUGCCCUAACCCUUCACCCCUCUUCCCUUCCCUUCCUCCUCUUCCCUCCGAGUGGCCACAUCGAAGAUCGGGUUCUUCAUUCUUCAGAAAUCAGAACCCUCCUCGUCGCCUCGUCCUCUUCCGCUUCCGCUUCCGCUUCCGCUCUCCAAACGAUGGAUCAGUAAUCGGGUUGUUGUUCUUUACAAGAAUUUUUAUGCUUUAGUUUCUCUCUCUCUUUCUUUCCUUUAUUUCAUCUUCUCUUAAUUACUAACUGUAUGGUUUUGAUCAGUAACAAGACCAUGACCACAACAUGUAGCAUCAUUGUAAACAUGCAUUUGUUAAGAUUCAUUACUUCCUUUUUAUCUUUAAUCUCUACAGUAUACAUGAAUAUGCCCAGCAUGCAAGAAUAAUCAGCAAAUAAGGUUUUAAGAAUUAAGUCCUCAAAAGGUUUGAUAUGCUCAGCAGGUUUGAAAGUCACAAGCAUAUGCAUUGAUUAAAAACCAAGGGAGAUCUAGCAAACUUAACAAAGGUACAUGGGUGUUAAUUGGCAAUACUGGGAAUUUCCGAUAAAUUUGGAGAAAUAGCAAUAUGGAGAUACAGAUUUGAGUUUGCUAUUUGCUUAAUUAUAUAUUUAUUUUGGAACAUAAUACAGUUUGCUAAUUUUUUACUUAAUUAACUUAAUUUUGUAGCUCUUUAUUCUUAUAUUCUUAAGAAUUAUGAGUAUUUAUACUAAUUGCAUAAAACUUGAGANNNNNNNN
This 743-nucleotide long non-coding RNA is filed under the name Ananas comosus (pineapple). Its description in RNAcentral is "long non-coding RNA (ACOM_LNC018960)". The record is from RNAcentral. Lineage: Eukaryota; Viridiplantae; Streptophyta; Magnoliopsida; Poales; Bromeliaceae.